AUUAUACUUCCUCCGUCCGAAAAUAUUUAUCAGAGGAAUUAAUGUAUCUAGACGUAUUUCAGUUUUAAAUACAUCCAUUUUUAUGUAUUUUUUCGACAAGUAUUUCCGGACGGAGGAAGUAUAAU
This is a non-coding RNA of Triticum aestivum (bread wheat), 125 nucleotides long. Lineage: Eukaryota; Viridiplantae; Streptophyta; Magnoliopsida; Poales; Poaceae. The record is from Rfam.